Molecule: transfer-messenger RNA, 96 nt
Filed under: Fructilactobacillus myrtifloralis
Lineage: Bacteria; Bacillati; Bacillota; Bacilli; Lactobacillales; Lactobacillaceae
Description: Fructilactobacillus sp. KI16_H9 partial transfer-messenger RNA
Rfam family: transfer-messenger RNA
About the family: Bacterial tmRNA, also known as 10Sa RNA or SsrA, is named for its dual tRNA and mRNA-like properties.
Source: RNAcentral
GCGAUGAAAAGUGAAAUUUAAAUAAUCAACCUAUGAGUGUAGAUGUUCAAGUGGCGACAUAUUCGGACGCGGGUUCAAAUCCCGCCGACUCCAUUA